UACCAGCACCCCGAGUGGUCGGGACGUUUAUUGGGCCUAAAGCAUCCGUAGCCGGUUCUACAAGUCUUCCGUAAAAUCCAACUGCUUAACAGGUGGGCUGCGGAAGAUACUAUAGAGCUAGGAGGCGGGAGAGGCAAGCGGUACUCGAUGGGUAGGGGUAAAAUCCGUUGAUCCAUUGAAGACCACCAGUGGCGAAGGCGGCUUGCCAGAACGCGCUCGACGGUGAGGGAUGAAAGCUGGGGGAGCAAACCGG
Molecule: ribosomal RNA, 253 nt
Filed under: uncultured bacterium
Lineage: Bacteria
Description: partial 16S ribosomal RNA
Rfam family: Archaeal small subunit ribosomal RNA
Source: RNAcentral